AAUAAGCUGCAUUGUACGUAAUGAUAAUUAAGUUUUAACCUUUAAGCUGUAAUAGGGAGUUUUAUAUCGAAACAGAAAUGUCAUGCCUCAUUCAAUGCAAGAGGACGACAGGAAUGGUUCUGCAAACACCCACUUUGAGAAGUGGUGGUUUAAAACUUUCUUGCAAGUUACGGCAAGUGCGGCUUCCUU
This is a non-coding RNA of 189 nucleotides. It matches the Rfam family "6S / SsrS RNA". From Rfam's summary of the family: E. coli 6S RNA was the first non coding RNA to be sequenced, but its function was unknown until recently. It consists of 184 nucleotides that fold into an extended hairpin structure with a large single-stranded internal bulge. The record is from Rfam.